This 1068-nucleotide transfer RNA is filed under the name Homo sapiens (human). RNAcentral's name for it is "HSALNT0014194". The stretch from base 353 to 428 matches the Rfam family "tRNA". The record is from RNAcentral. Lineage: Eukaryota; Metazoa; Chordata; Mammalia; Primates; Hominidae.
CUCAAGGUGUGAAGCGGGGCUAAGAAUGGGAAAGCGAGUGACUUCCGCCGGAGAAGCUGCAGUUGUCGCCUGUAGAGGGGCCGGCGACUUUUGAGACGGUGAAGAGCAGGCGGGGGAACCAGUGAAGAGCAGACGGUGAGGAGCAGGCGGCCGUUUGGCCGUUGGAGUCCCCCAGCUGACUCUGCCCGGGUAGAACGUCCAAAGUGCCCAAAGACUCGACUCUUGGCUUCAAUGUCUCCCGUGUUCUGGGUUUCUGGAGUGCGCGGGAUUGGACAGGCUACAAACAUAUGAGAUUAUCUACGGCCAGAGGUUAAAAUGCCAUUUCUGGUAUCAGCAAAUCUAAACCAUUAGAGUCUCUGUGGCGCCAUCGGUUAGUGCCUUCGGCUGUUUGAACCGAAAGGCUGGUGGUUCAAGCCCACCCAGAGAUGGUACCUUUUACUUAGGCAAGAUUCACGCUUUCUGUUUAAAGACUUUAAUCCUGGGAAUCUUCCGGACCUCUACUAGCUUUAAAUUCGAUGCCAAAAUACGCUGUGCGAAGGCUCAAGUUCCAUGGAAGUUCCUAAAAACAAGAAUAUUUCAGCAAAAGUAAUUUUUCAAUAGAGCCUGAGCCUGGGGCUUCAGAGCUUACUCCAGAGCCACUGCACUUAUUUCAUCACUUCCUGAAGCUGGGUUUUUACAACUGCACAUUCCUGGAAAUCCAAAACUCCCAAUAAUUGAAAACAAGAAAAUCCCAGUCUUCACUUGUGGUGAAGCCUCAAUUUCCAGGUUGAAAUCUUGGUUGGUUCAUGAUGUGACUUUUAAAACGUUACUGAAUUUUCUGUAUCUCUAUUUCUUCAUCUAUAAAAACAGAAAAAAAAAAGUGCUUCCCUUUCCUGGGUGUGGUGGCUCAUGCCUGUAAUUGCAGCAGUUUGGGAGGAUGAGGCGGGCAGAUCACCUAAGGUUAGGAGUUCGAGACCUGCCUGGUCAACUUGGUGAAACCCCAUCUCUACUAAAAAUACAAAAAUGAGCUGGGCGUGGUGGCAGGUGCCUGUAAUCCCAGCUACUUGAGAGGCUGAGGCAGGAGAAUAG